UAGGGAAUCUUCGGCAAUGGACGGAAGUCUGACCGAGCAACGCCGCGUGAGUGAAGAAGGUUUUCGGAUCGUAAAGCUCUGUUGUAAGAGAAGAACGAGUGUGAGAGUGGAAAGUUCACACUGUGACGGUAUCUUACCAGAAAGGGACGGCUAACUACGUGCCAGCAGCCGCGGUAAUACGUAGGUCCCGAGCGUUGUCCGGAUUUAUUGGGCGUAAAGCGAGCGCAGGCGGUUAGAUAAGUCUGAAGUUAAAGGCUGUGGCUUAACCAUAGUAGGCUUUGGAAACUGUUUAACUUGAGUGCAAGAGGGGAGAGUGGAAUUCCAUGUGUAGCGGUGAAAUGCGUAGAUAUAUGGAGGAACACCGGUGGCGAAAGCGGCUCUCUGGCUUGUAACUGACGCUGAGGCUCGAAAGCGUGGGGAGCAAACAGGAUUAGAUACCCUGGUAGUCCACGCUGUAAACGAUGAGUGCUAGGUGUUAGACCCUUUCCGGGGUUUAGUGCCGUAGCUAACGCAUUAAAGCACUCCGCCUGGGGGAGUACGACCGCAAGGUUGA
RNAcentral lists this ribosomal RNA (553 nucleotides) under uncultured bacterium. RNAcentral describes it as "bacterial SSU rRNA". It matches the Rfam family "Bacterial small subunit ribosomal RNA", at positions 355 to 897 of the family's 1533-position model. The record is from RNAcentral.